This 786-nucleotide ribosomal RNA is filed under the name Triticum aestivum (bread wheat). Its description in RNAcentral is "partial small subunit ribosomal RNA". The record is from RNAcentral. Lineage: Eukaryota; Viridiplantae; Streptophyta; Magnoliopsida; Poales; Poaceae.
AUGGAGUCAACUACAAAACUUAAAGAUAUUACAGUGGGACAGCAAAACUGUAAGGUCUUUGCACGGGUAAUAAGGCUUUGGGAUGCUAUAAAUACGAAUCCCAGAUAUGGAAAUUCUUUGAUCAGCAUUGAUGGCAUUCUCUUGGAUGAAGAUGGAUGCAUGGCACAAAUUAGUGUGCCUAAAAAAUUUGAAAAACAAUUUUGUGGGUUGCUAUCUCAAGGAUCUGCCUAUAUUAUUUCAAAUGUUGCAGCUAUCGAUAUCAGAAGCAAAUCAUAUGUCUAUCGGCAUCAGAAUUAUAUGCUGCAAUUCAAACAAGACACAAAGGUUGAUCCGCUACAUUCAAGAGGUGCAGAUAUACCUACACUUUCGCUCGACUUUUGCCCAUUUUAUCAGCUGCCACAAAAAGCAAUUGAUUCCAAGCCACUCCUAGAUGUGAUAGGAGUAAUAUGUGAUGUUGGUCCAUAUGACUAUGCUAGCCAAACAUCUCAGCACAAAUUUCGGAAGACCAAAAUUCGCAACCUAGAAGAACAAACACAAGAAUUAGUUCUAUGGGGCCAGCAUGGAGAAUCAUUUGAUGAAGAAACAGUACUUAAAAAAUCUCAAGAAGGAAUUGUCAUAGCCAUUUUUGCUGGUGUAACUGCAACUCUACAAAGGUUUACAGGUAUGAUACAAGGAUCCUCAAGUUCUGCGACACAAAUAUAUCUUGAUCUUGAUAUACCUAAAGUUCAAAAGUACCGCACCAGGUUCUCUCUUUCUCACUCUUGCGCAUACAGAAUUUAUGUUUAG